Molecule: ribosomal RNA, 497 nt
Filed under: uncultured bacterium
Lineage: Bacteria
Description: partial 16S ribosomal RNA
Rfam family: Bacterial small subunit ribosomal RNA
Source: RNAcentral
GAUGAACGCUGGCGGCGUGCCUAAUACAUGCCAGUCGAGCGAACAGACGAGGAGCUUGCUCCUCUGACGUUAGCGGCGGACGGGUGAGUAACACGUGGAUAACCUACCUAUAAGACUGGGAUAACUUCGGGAAACCGGAGCUAAUACCGGAUAAUAUAUUGAACCGCAUGGUUCAAUAGUGAAAGACGGUUUUGCUGUCACUUAUAGAUGGAUCCGCGCCGCAUUAGCUAGUUGGUAAGGUAACGGCUUACCAAGGCGACGAUGCGUAGCCGACCUGAGAGGGUGAUCGGCCACACUGGAACUGAGACACGGUCCAGACUCCUACGGGAGGCAGCAGUAGGGAAUCUUCCGCAAUGGGCGAAAGCCUGACGGAGCAACGCCGCGUGAGUGAUGAAGGUCUUCGGAUCGUAAAACUCUGUUAUUAGGGAAGAACAAAUGUGUAAGUAACUAUGCACGUCUUGACGGUACCUAAUCAGUAAGCCACGGCUAACUACGUG